Lolium rigidum is the source of this 963-nucleotide long non-coding RNA. RefSeq lists it as uncharacterized. The transcript has 2 exons. The record is from RefSeq and is a predicted model, not a curated record. NCBI's taxonomy places the organism in Eukaryota, Viridiplantae, Streptophyta, Magnoliopsida, Poales, Poaceae.
UCUAAUACAAUGAUUUUUCAUGGUUGAUGAUACAAUUUUUAUACAUCCGUAAAAAUCAACGGUGAAAAAUGUAAUACCUCCACAGUAAGCAUUCUAGGAUGGAACAAACAUGAAAGUUUAAAUUGUCAAGUUUCUCAUGUUCCGAUGGCACGGUAUUUCUUUAGUCUUAUUAAAUCUCAUAAUGAGGAACGUCCUGUUGAGUUAGAGAAAGCGACUACAGGUUGUGGAACUGAAAAGUUAGUCAACAGAUUAGAGACAAAACAAGGAGAUAAGGUUUUGCAAAAUUAUCUUGGAGAACUUGAUGGCUUCAUGCAAGAUCUAAAACAAAUAAUAUGCAGACUGUUGUUAAGGAAGUUACUCAAAAUAUCAAAAAGAGAUGAUGGGAAUACUAAACCGUGGGUGAUGAGUGUGUUGAAAGAGGUUACUGCUAACAAUUAUUUCGGUAUCUCGAAGACAAGACUAAACCAGAGGUAAGAAGUCUUUCCUUCCUGUUUUGCUAUAAAUGUAUACUUGAUUCUCUUUUGGAAGCUAAAAUAUGUUCACCGGUUUGCCUGGAGGAUUCCUUGGACAUUGUACAGGAAUUGAAUAAGAUUGGGAGAACUAGCCCUAUGUAUAUGGUACUGUAUUAUAUAUUGAUCAAGCUGCGAAGUGGGAUUUAUCUGAAUGAGGAGAUGCAUGGCCUGGUGUGUACGCCUUUAUGAGCAAAUGAAACUAGGGAAUGACAUGUUCUUUAGAGGGCUUUCCUGAUGCAGUCCGCCCAUUUCUGCUUCCCUUCUUUCCAUUGCCUUGAAGCGUGUUUCUUUCUAGGUAUUAUUGACUGGCAAACUCAUUCAUAGGUCUAGGAGGACAUAAUAUCAGUCAAUGUUUGUAUCUUUUUUUGCUUAUCACGCAACAAUUUACAGUCAUUUUCCCUUUAUUUGGAAUCCCCAUUUUGCAUUGAAGCAACCGGACAUAUUAUCCUUA